GGCCUGCUUGUGGCACUGAGUGGUGUGUUGCCCCAAUGAGGCCUGUGCUGUUAUCAAUGUGCUGUCUGUCUGUGUGGCCUGGGCCUGUCUGUCUGUUUGUCUGUGUGUCCUGUCUGUCUGUGUGGCCUGGGCCUGUCUGUCUGUGUGGCCUAGGCCUGUCUGUCUGUGUGGCCUGGGCCGGAUGUGGCAGUCAGGCUCUACAGGAACCUAGAGCUCUGCUGCCUUUCUGCUUGACCAGCUGUUCCCAACUAGCUGUAGCUACUGGCUGACUGGGUUGAUCUGUUCUACUGUCCAUGUGGUAUUAGCUAGUGAAUGACAGUAGCACUCACCAGCUCUGGAGACUUCGGCAUGUUUUACAUCCAUCUACUUCCUAGCCUGUCUUCAUUUUAACAUCAAAGAUUUGACAGGUUUCAUAUCACAGCAAGAAUUCACACUAACAUUGUUCCAGAUCAUUCUAUCAUCACAUCAUUCUAAUAUACGUAGUUAAACUCAGUCUUUCAUCAUGGCUUGCAUACUGUUGAUGUUGGCUUGUGUUUUCAGUUCCAUGUACAAUGUUACCAUCACCACCUGUGGUUUUCUCUGGAUCCCUCUACGAAGUUAAUCUUUUAAUCAGUUAGUCAUUUAAUGUUCUGUGUGUUUAUUUGAUGAGUGGUGGUAUUAAAGGGUCAUGUUGUGGCAGUGCUUUUUGCAAAUGGAGCUUUGUGUUGCUAUUGUCCCUAGGGCAGGUAAACUAACCUCAGGUAAACUAAUGAUGACAGGUAAACUAACGUCAGGCAAACUAAACUCAGGUAAACUAACCUCAGGUAAACUAAUGAUGACAGGUAAACUAACGUCAGGCAAACUAAACUCAGGUAAACUAACCUCAGGUAAACUAAUGAUGACAGGUAAACUAAACUCAGGUAAACUAAACUCAGGUAAACUAAUGAUGACAGGUAAACUAACGUCAGGUAAACUAAACUCAGGUAAACUAAACUCAGGUAAACUAAUGAUGACAGGUAAACUAACGUCAGGUAAACUAAACUCAGGUAAACUAAACUCAGGUAAACUAAUGAUGACAGGUAAACUAACGUCAGGUAAACUAACCUCAGGUAAACUAAUGAUGACAGGUAAACUAACCUCAGGUAAACUAACCUCAGGUAAACUAACCUCAGGUAAACUAAUGAUGACAGGUAAACUAACCUCAGGUAAACUAACCUCAGGUAAACUAAACUCAGGUAAACUAACCUCAGGUAAACUAAUGAUGACAGGUAAACUAAACUCAGGUAAACUAACGUCAGG
Oncorhynchus mykiss (rainbow trout) is the source of this 1278-nucleotide non-coding RNA. Lineage: Eukaryota; Metazoa; Chordata; Actinopteri; Salmoniformes; Salmonidae. The record is from RefSeq and is a predicted model, not a curated record.